GGUCCUGACUCGCUCGACUGGUAAGAGCGUGGCAUUAACGUUGCCAGGGUUAGGGGUUCGGUUCCCACCGGGACCA
Merluccius polli (Benguela hake) is the source of this 76-nucleotide non-coding RNA. Lineage: Eukaryota; Metazoa; Chordata; Actinopteri; Gadiformes; Merlucciidae. The record is from the annotation of a GenBank genome assembly.